UGUCAACUGGUUGUUGGACGGCUUGCUGUUCAGUAACGAAGCUAACGCGUGAAGUUGACCGCCUGGGGAGUACGGCCGCAAGGUUGAAACUCAAAGGAAACUGACGGGGACCCGCACAAGCGGUGGAUGAUGUGGUUUAAUUCGAUGCAACGCGAAAAACCUUACCCACCUUUGACAUGGCAGGAAUCCUUUAGAGAUAGAGGAGUGCUCGAAAGAGAACCUGCACACAGGUGCUGCAUGGCUGUCGUCAGCUCGUGUCGUGAGAUGUUGGGUUAAGUCCCGCAACGAGCGCAACCCUUGUCAUUAGUUGCUACGAAAGGGCACUCUAAUGAGACUGCCGGUGACAAACCGGAGGAAGGUGGGGAUGACGUCAAGUCCUCAUGGCCCUUAUAGGUGGGGCUACACACGUCAUACAAUGGCCGGUACAAAGGGCAGCCAACCCGCGAGGGGGAGCCAAUCCCAUAAAGCCGGUCGUAGUCCGGAUCGCAGUCUGCAACUCGACUGCGUGAAGUCGGAAUCGCUAGUAAUCGUGGAUCAGCAUGUCACGGUGAAUACGUUCCCGGGUCUUGUACACACCGCCCGUCACACCAUGGGAGCGGGUCUCGCCAGAAGUAGUUAGCCUAACCGCAAGGAGGGCGAUUACCACGGCGGGGUUCGUGACUGGGGUGAAGUCGUAACAAGGUAACCA
This 688-nucleotide ribosomal RNA is filed under the name uncultured bacterium. RNAcentral describes it as "bacterial SSU rRNA". It matches the Rfam family "Bacterial small subunit ribosomal RNA", at positions 810 to 1502 of the family's 1533-position model. The record is from RNAcentral.